RNAcentral lists this ribosomal RNA (253 nucleotides) under uncultured bacterium. RNAcentral's name for it is "partial 16S ribosomal RNA". It matches the Rfam family "Bacterial small subunit ribosomal RNA", at positions 524 to 776 of the family's 1533-position model. The record is from RNAcentral.
UACAGAGGGGGCAAGCGUUGUUCGGAAUUACUGGGCGUAAAGGGCGCGUAGGCGGCCUUCUAAGUCGAACGUGAAAUCCCCGGGCUCAACCCGGGAACUGCGUCCGAUACUGGAAGGCUUGAAUCCGGGAGAGGGAUGCGGAAUUCCAGGUGUAGCGGUGAAAUGCGUAGAUAUCUGGAGGAACACCGGUGGCGAAGGCGGCAUCCUGGACCGGCAUUGACGCUGAACAGCGAAAGCCAGGGGAGCAAACGGG